This 243-nucleotide ribosomal RNA is filed under the name uncultured Actinomycetales bacterium. Its description in RNAcentral is "partial 16S ribosomal RNA". It matches the Rfam family "Bacterial small subunit ribosomal RNA", at positions 88 to 334 of the family's 1533-position model. The record is from RNAcentral. Lineage: Bacteria; Bacillati; Actinomycetota; Actinomycetes; Actinomycetales.
UACCCGAGUGGCGAACGGGUGAGUAACACGUGGGUGAUCUGCCCUGCACUUCGGGAUAAGCUUGGGAAACUGGGUCUAAUACCGGAUAGGAGCCAUCUUUAGUGUGGUGGUUGGAAAGUUUUUUCGGUGUAGGAUGAGCUCGCGGCCUAUCAGCUUGUUGGUGGGGUAAUGGCCUACCAAGGCGGCGACGGGUAGCCGGCCUGAGAGGGUGUACGGCCACAUUGGGACUGAGAUACGGCCCAG